AUGAAGGGGAGCGGCUUGGUGUUCAUGGUUACUCUUUUGUCCAUCGGCUACCUUGCAGUGACCGGACGGUGUGACCUCGGGGAUGAAAGGAGCGCCAGUGCAAGUGCUAAUGCUCCUGCAUUACACUCGUCAUCAGAUGAGAGCAAGCUUAGCGUGAGAUUUUGUCUGGUUAGGGAUUGUAAAACCAAAGCUGAGACCUGGACUGAGGCAUGCUACUGCUGCCUUGUGCUGUCCGAUAUGCCAUGUUGGCAUAAGCUAUACGAGUGUCAAGCAAACUGCCCGGCGUGCCACCCCAAGUGCUAG
Molecule: ribosomal RNA, 303 nt
Filed under: Triticum aestivum (bread wheat)
Lineage: Eukaryota; Viridiplantae; Streptophyta; Magnoliopsida; Poales; Poaceae
Description: partial small subunit ribosomal RNA
Source: RNAcentral